GGUCUAAUAGUGUAGAGGUUAUCACACGGGAUUCUGAUGUUUACUGAGGUGUUUCCCGUGACCCAGGUUCGAGUCCUGGUUAGACCU
Molecule: non-coding RNA, 87 nt
Organism: Gymnopus androsaceus JB14
Lineage: Eukaryota; Fungi; Basidiomycota; Agaricomycetes; Agaricales; Omphalotaceae
Source: the annotation of a GenBank genome assembly